AUUGAACGCUGGCGGCAGGCCUAACACAUGCAAGUCGAGCGGCAGCGGGAAAGUAGCUUGCUACUUUUGCCGGCGAGCGGCGGACGGGUGAGUAAUGCCUGGGGAUCUGCCCAGUCGAGGGGGAUACCUACUGGAAACGGUAGCUAAUACCGCAUACGACAUACGGGGGAAAGCAGGGGACCUGCAGGCCUUGCGCGAUAGGAUGAGCCAAGGGUGGAUUAGCUAGUUGGUGGGGUAAUGGCUCACCAAGGCGACGAUCCCUAGCUGGUCUGAGAGGAUGAUCAGCCACACUGGAACUGAGACUCGGUCCAGACUCCUACGGGAGGCAGCAGUGGGGAAUAUUGCACAAUGGGGGAAACCCUGAUGCAGCCAUGCCGCGUGUGUGAAGAAGGCCUUCGGGUUGUAAAGCACUUUCAGCGAGGAGGAAAGGUUGGUAGCUAAUAACUGCCAGCUGUGACGUUACUCGCAGAAGAAGCACCGGCUAACUCCGUGCCAGCCGCCGCGGUAA
RNAcentral lists this ribosomal RNA (508 nucleotides) under uncultured bacterium. RNAcentral's name for it is "partial 16S ribosomal RNA". It matches the Rfam family "Bacterial small subunit ribosomal RNA", at positions 29 to 523 of the family's 1533-position model. The record is from RNAcentral.